This 2292-nucleotide long non-coding RNA is filed under the name Theobroma cacao (cacao). Its description in RNAcentral is "long non-coding RNA (TCAC_LNC001089)". The record is from RNAcentral. Lineage: Eukaryota; Viridiplantae; Streptophyta; Magnoliopsida; Malvales; Malvaceae.
GGAAUGUCAAUCGAAACCUCGCAAGGCUUAACAUCAGUUUUUCUCGCUUCCCCUGUGAGUAUUAGUUACUAAAAUCAUGUUUUGAGAGAUUAUAAACUAUUUUCAAAUCAAAACAAUAGAAAAAUAAUUUUUUUCUCAUAGGGGCAUUUUGGUCAUUUUUUCCCAAAAAUUUUGAAACCAGCUAAAAAUGUAGUAUGCGAGAAUAAAACACAUAAUUCAUAAUCAAAAAUAAGUUUAAACGUCUAUAACCUUCAUUUAAAAUGAAAUUAUGAUUAUUUGGAUAAAAUAAAAAAAAUAAAAAAAUAUUCAAUAAAAUAUUCUAUUCUCUUAUAAAAUAAUAUUUUUAGAGUUAUACAUAAAUAAUUUGUUGUAGUGUAAAAGCAAAAUAAAUUCAUACAUACUGUAAUACAAUAAGCCAGAGUAUUUAAUUUAAUUUACAAUAACUAGUGGGCCCCUGAAUAACUAAAAGUAAGAAAGACUAUGAACUUACAGUUUGAAGGAUGCAAAUCCAGUGGUAGCCUCGAUGAAAUCAGCUAUCUACAGCCUAUUCUGAGCCUAAAAUGGGUGAAAAUGAGGGUGGUGAGAUUAUAUAAUCCCAGUGAGUAAACAAAUACCAUCUAAAAUAUUUAAAGCCAAGUAAAUCGAGAUAGAUAAAAUAGUUUAACAUACUGUAAUUCAUCACCUUUCAACUUGUUUCAACCAAACAAAAUCAAUUCAUAUAAAUCGAGUAAUUAACAUGGCUUAUGAAUUUCUUAAAAGUUUGGCUCAUGCCAAAAUCAUUCUCAUACUCAGUUAUCAAAGAUACCUCGAUUGAGGGCUAUCCCAACCGAGUCUGCCAAAGCUGUUAAAAAGUUAUGUACGCAUAAAUCAUGUUUUUAUUUUGAAAACAUAGUUGUUCUUUGGCAUUGGCUGAGUUCACCCUCACAUGGUGGUUUGGCGUGAAGUGAACUCUAAAGUGUUAACCUCAGGAGUUAUACAUCCGUACCUCUCAUACUGAGGUAUGAAUAUAAUAGGGUUACCGUGCCCCUCUAAUAGGCUGGGCCACGGAACUCGUCCACUGCAACGACUAAUUUAUAACCCACCAUACAAUAAAAUUUGCUAUAGCAUGACAUGACCAUUAUUUUAUUUUACAGCCUCUCAAGGCAAAUUAACCGUUCAUACAUUUUCAACACAUUUACCAAAUCAACCAUUCAUGCCAAUAUUAUCAUAAGCCAUUCAAUUAGAACCAUAAAUUCACAAUACAUCAAAUGGUCUCCAAUUACUCUAUUUUCAAAGCCAUCAUUCAAUUUCAAAAUAAUUUAUAAAAUUAUUUCAUUUUAACACAUUUUGUUUAUAAAACCUAAAAAUUUACCAUUUAAACUCAUUUUUCAUAAAAUCACAAAAUCGGAUAAAAACCACUUUAGAUAAUUAAGACGAUAGUAAGGUUACUCACUAUUUCGGGAGUCGAAUUCUGAGUACUCCGAUUCUUGAUCCUCGGGUACUAUCUCUUUACUUUUGCCAGAAUGCUCACCACCUAGACAUAAUGCACAAUAAGCCAUUUGCUACAUUUGUGCUAAAUUGUUAUCAAACCAAUUCAGGCUCUAUACUAAUGCAUGAAAUGGGAUGUGAAAUACUCGGGUAACUAUCUAAAUACGGUAUUCCAUAUAAAUUCAAUUAUGUACCUAAAUAAAAUGGUAUUGGCCUAAUUCGAUCUAUCACCCGAUUAGUUGGCCAAUACGUCCAAUUCAACUCCAAUUAACUCCAUUUUUCUUCCAAUUCUCCAAACCAUCAAACACAAGUUAAAUAACUUGAAAUAUGGCAAAAUCAUUCUCACAUUUUCUCUUGGAAACUUCGGCCAUGGUCGGUGGAUCAACACUAUAAUUUUUCCUACUUGAUUCUCACACCAUAAAUCACUAAUUCUUAACCAAAUCACUUAAAAUAAAAUCAAAAUCAUCCUCAAUAUUCCACAUGGAGAAUUCAGCCAAUGAUGGGUGAUGGAAGAACAUUAAUUUUUCUUUCUUGAAUUUCAUGCUACACAUCACCAAUAAACUAAAAACACUAAAAUACAUUGAAAUCUAACCAAAUCAAGCAUCAAAACCUCUCUCCUAGGGUUUGAUCAGCACACUAUCCUUCAUGAUAUCUUGUGAUUCAACCAUGGAAAAUGCAAAAUAAUGCAUGGGAAAGGUAGAUCACAAAUCAAAAUCAAGAAAUUUUACCUUUGAUUGCUUGAUUACUUGAAAUCCACUAAUUUUCUCUUGAAUUUUCACCCUAGGGUUCUUGUUCUUCCUUUUUCUUCCUUUGUUCUUGCUUUGG